Long non-coding RNA from Cryptomeria japonica (Japanese cedar), 707 nucleotides. RefSeq lists it as uncharacterized. Lineage: Eukaryota; Viridiplantae; Streptophyta; Pinopsida; Cupressales; Cupressaceae. The transcript is spliced from 2 exons. The record is from RefSeq and is a predicted model, not a curated record.
AUGCCAUCCAAGUAUGGGCUCCUCCUAACUGGUGUGAGCUGAGCUCUGCCUAUGAUAAUGGCCGAGUUGGAGCUCACACCAGUGGAGGACUCCAUACAAACUGGAAUGGACGGGCCUUCCUUAUAUUCUAACCUUAUUUUCAAGCUUAUCAUGAUGGAAGAGUGAGUGCAAAGGAGAGUGGCUCUGUAAUUACAGAGUGGAGUGGCCUAAUUGUAUUGGCGAUGUUGUAUUGUAUUUUUAUUAACUGAGAAUAUGUGUGGACUCUAUUAUAGAUGGGGAUAGGAUUAAAGAGCUGCAGGAUUUUUACAGAGCAGCCUUGUUCAGCAACGGGAUGAGAUUCAACAGAGCUACCUGUUGGGCCUGGCAUACAAAAAAGAAGAAGAAAUAUGUAAAUAUGGGCUGGAUUAUUUUCUGUAAAACUUUGUUCAAGCAGAUUGUUAGAUCUUUCUUAGUAUGUCGCUUAAAAGACAGCCCUGUCUAGUGUUUGUCUACUAUAGGAUUUUGACAGAGCAGCCUUGUUCGGCCGGGGAAGGAGAUUCGGGCCUGGCAAACAAAAAAGAAGCAGAAAUAUGUAAAUAUGGGCAGAUUGUUAUGUCUCUCUUUGUAUGUGGAAUCUCAUGACAGUCCUGGCCUAUGUCUUUGUCUAGUUUAUUUUGUUUUAGGUUUUGUUUUCAUCUUUUAAUAUAAUCUGCUAGGACGUUGCUUCA